Molecule: ribosomal RNA, 905 nt
Filed under: uncultured archaeon
Lineage: Archaea
Description: bacterial SSU rRNA
Rfam family: Archaeal small subunit ribosomal RNA
Source: RNAcentral
CGGUUGAUCCUGCCGGACCCCACCGCUAUCGGGAUAGGACUAAGACAUGCUAGUCGCGCGCCUCCCAAGCCUGAUGGUUGAAGAGGCGCGGCACACAGCUCAGUAACACGUGGCUAACCUGCCCUUGGGACAGGGAUAACCCCGGGAAACUGGGGCUAAUCCCUGAUAGGUGAGGGCUCCUGGAAUGGGCCCUCACCGAAAGGGCGCCUAGACCAUGCUUCUAGGCGCCGCCCAAGGAUGGAGCCGCGGCCGAUCAGGUUGUUGGUGAGGUAACGGCUCACCAAGCCUUUAACCGGUACGGGCCGUGAGAGCGGGAGCCCGGAGAUGGGUACUGAGACAAGGACCCAGGCCCUACGGGGCGCAGCAGUCGCGAAAACUCCGCAAUACGCGAAAGCGUGACGGGGCUAUCCCGAGUGCCGUCCGCUGAGGACGGCUUUUCCCCAGUGUAUAAAGCUGGGGGAAUAAGGAGAGGGCAAGCCUGGUGUCAGCCGCCGCGGUAACACCAGCUCUCCGAGUGGUGGGGAUGCUUAUUGGGCCUAAAGCAUCCGUAGCCGGCCGGGCAAGUCCCCCGUUAAAUCCAACGAUUCAAUCGUUGGACUGCGGGGGAUACUGCCCGGCUAGGGGGCGGUAGAAGCCGACGGUAUUCCCGGGGUAGGGGUGAAAUCCUAUAAUCCCGGGAAGACCACCAGUGGCGAAGGCUGUCGGCUAGAACGCGCCCGACGGUGAGGGAUGAAAGCUGGGGGAGCGAACCGGAUUAGAUACCCGGGUAGUCCCAGCUGUAAACGAUGCAGGCUAGGUGUUGGAGCGGCUACGUGCCGCUCCAGUGCCGCAGGGAAGCCGUUAAGCCUGCCGCCUGGGAAGUACGGCCGCAAGGCUGAAACUUAAAGGAAUUGGCGGGGGAGCAC